CCUACGGGAGGCAGCAGUGGGGAAUAUUGGGCAAUGGGCGCAAGCCUGAUCCAGCAAUGCCGCGUGUGUGAAGAAGGCCUUCGGGUUGUAAAGCACUUUUAUCAGGAACGAAAUACCACGGGUUAAUAACCUAUGGGGCUGACGGUACCUGAGGAAUAAGCACCGGCUAACUUCGUGCCAGCAGCCGCGGUAAUACGAAGGGUGCAAGCGUUAAUCGGAAGUACCGGGCGUGGUGGGUGCGGAGGCUGGUGAAAUCCCCGGGCUCAACCUGGGAAUGGCGAUGGAUACUGGGCAGCUAGAGUGUGUCAGAGGAUGGUGGAAUUCCCGGUGUAGCGGUGAAAUGCGUAGAGAUCGGGAGGAACAUCAGUGGCGAAGGCGGCCAUCUGGGACAACACUGACGCUGAAGCACGAAAGCGUGGGGAGCAAACAGGAUUAGAUACCCGUGUAGUC
This 450-nucleotide ribosomal RNA is filed under the name uncultured bacterium. RNAcentral's name for it is "partial 16S ribosomal RNA". It matches the Rfam family "Bacterial small subunit ribosomal RNA", at positions 338 to 795 of the family's 1533-position model. The record is from RNAcentral.